UACGGAGGGAGCUAGCGUUGUUCGGAAUUACUGGGCGUAAAGCGCACGUAGGCGGCUUUUCAAGUCAGGGGUGAAAUCCCGGGGCUCAACCUCGGAACUGCCCUUGAAACUGGAAGGCUAGAAUCCUGGAGAGGCGAGUGGAAUUCCGAGUGUAGAGGUGAAAUGCGUAGAUAUGUGGAGGAACACCGAUGGCGAAGGCAGCCCCCUCGGUA
Molecule: ribosomal RNA, 212 nt
Filed under: uncultured bacterium
Lineage: Bacteria
Description: partial 16S ribosomal RNA
Rfam family: Bacterial small subunit ribosomal RNA
Source: RNAcentral